AAAAAUAGGAGGUAAAAGUUAUCUACUUUGCUUUUGUUUGGAUAGGAUGGAAAAUGGAAAGAAUGAAAGUGCUGUAAAAAUAUCAGGAUAAAUUACAAAUUUUUUUCUCUCUAUUAUUAAAGAUAUUACUAUUGUUAUAGGGUUACAAUUGUAUUUUUCAUUUUUUUGAGUAUGAUAGAGAAUCAUCACGUGGUGAGGAUUUUGCUUCAUUUUUCUUGAAAAGUUUCCUUAUAAAAUUUUUGCAACAUUUACCAUUUCCCCACUUUCCUCCCUCUCCCAAACAAUAGAAAAAUAGAUUUUUCCCCAUAAGUAUUCCCUCUCCUUUUCUUUCCCACCAUUUUCCAUAAAUAUGUUGUUAUAAUUUUGAAACUCAGGAAGUGAAAUU
This 385-nucleotide unclassified non-coding RNA is filed under the name Hevea brasiliensis (rubber tree). Lineage: Eukaryota; Viridiplantae; Streptophyta; Magnoliopsida; Malpighiales; Euphorbiaceae. The record is from RNAcentral.